AUUCCCGCCUGUCUCUCUCUCUCUGGAUUCUUCGACGAUUUAGGGUUUCUUCUUCACGAGUAGCGAGAGACUUGAGUAUCAGAUUCCUGAAUCCUGGAACUCGUGAUUCCAAGCUACCCGUCGCUUUAAUGUUUAGAGUUCUACACAGUCGUCAGGUUUAGAUGCGUACUCUGUUUCACUUGAGUAUCAAAGGUUUAAGCUGCUAGUAGUUGUCGCUCUAUAAGAGUGACUCCAGUUUUAGCACUUGUGUCCGCAAAGUGGGAUAGAGAGCAGGGGUAGAGAAAGCUGCUGGAUAAUGGCUUUCUUCCCCUUUUGAUGCAAGAAAAGAGCAAGGAAGUUGGUGUAUACGAGCUGUAUAGCUCUCUACUUCGAAGACGAAGCAUGGGUCGGGUUAAUAAUUUCCUUUGGGGCGGUUUAGCGGCUCCUGGAUGAAUCUGGAGCUGACACUUUGAUGCUUCCACUCUGUUGGUCCAUCCUGUGUUGGCGGAGAAAGUAGUGUUCUUGCGACCCCCGGGGCAUUCGACUGGUUCUGCCUGUAAGAUGAAGGCGAGCAAACGAUGUCUGUGGAUGCUUGCUCUUCCUUUGAGUUAUGUUCAAGACUUGCCUAGUUGUUGCCGUGCCGUCGCAGUUUCACUCGUCCUAAAAGUUAAUUUAUGCAGGAAAUAGCCGCUAAUGUUGAGUGUGUCGGUAUUACCACGACUAUUUGGGGCAAUAACCAAAUUGAAUGUGGUUGAAGAUAGGGUGCUUGGUUGGAGGCGGGGGACAUGUCAUCUCCCUUGCACCAAUUUCCCCCCGUGUGAAUAUUUCCGCAAAACCAAUCUACUGCUUCAGGCUUCCAUAGAUUGCAAGAUUUGCAGCUCACAAAUAGAGAAUGACCUGGUUAUGUGCUUGAUGUAUUACUCUCAACUCUAUCCACAUGGGGUGCACGGGAGAUGACAUGAUUUAUUUGGUUUUCAUCGAGAAGGGGCCAUCUCUUCCUGCAAGAUGAUUCAAUUGGUGUUAAUUCUGAGAUAGUGUAAAGUAUGACCAUUCAUUGGGAUUCUGUCUUGUGUGGUUAUCUCUUUUAGCAUA
Long non-coding RNA from Syzygium oleosum, 1071 nucleotides. RefSeq lists it as uncharacterized. The transcript has 2 exons. NCBI's taxonomy places the organism in Eukaryota, Viridiplantae, Streptophyta, Magnoliopsida, Myrtales, Myrtaceae. The record is from RefSeq and is a predicted model, not a curated record.